CCUACGGGAGGCAGCAGCGGGGAAUAUUGGGCAAUGGGCGCAAGCCUGACCCAGCAACGCCGCGUGAAGGAAGAAGGCUUUCGGGUUGUAAACUUCUUUUAAGAGGGAAGAGAAGAAGAGGGUGCGUCUUUAAUAAGCCACGGCUAACUACGUGCCAUCAGCCGCCGCCAUACGAAGGGGGCAAGCUAUGUGCCGAUUUACUGGGUGUAACGGGCGUGCAGCAGGGAAGAAGAGUCAUGUGGGAAAUCCCGCGGGUCAACCCUUCAUACUGUUAGUGAAACUGUUAAGCUUGAGAACGUUAGCGGUAAGUGGAAUUUCUAGUGUAGGAGUGAAAUCCGUAGAUAUUAGAAAGAACACCGAUAGCGAAGGCAGGUUACUGGGAUGGUUCUGACACUGAGGCACGAAAGCGUAGGGAGCAAACGGGAUUAGAUACCCGUGUAGUC
This 443-nucleotide ribosomal RNA is filed under the name uncultured bacterium. RNAcentral describes it as "partial 16S ribosomal RNA". It matches the Rfam family "Bacterial small subunit ribosomal RNA", at positions 338 to 795 of the family's 1533-position model. The record is from RNAcentral.